CAUUUUUAAGUUUUUUGAUCUUUAAUUUCUAUUGUUUUCUACAAUAUUUUAUACUUCCAUUACUAUCCUAUCUAUUCUAUCAAACAUCUAUUGUUCCUUGAUUUUUGUCUUUGAUUAUAAACCUUUUUUGCAAACAAUUUUCAAACUACUUAUUGAAAGUGGAACUGCAAAAGUUAUCAAAUUACCCUUCUCCAGCUAUGUACAUGAACCGCUCCACUAACUCCUUUUUAUCAUUGUCCAAUUGGUCCUGUUUCAAAAGAGAAAACCAUAUCACACAAGACAUAAGCUUAGAAGUUUCAAAUUAAUCUUAUUUGACUAACAAAAAAUUAUAUAUAAAAUGCAAUAAUUAAACAUAAACAAACACAUCAAAAUAUUUUAGGAAAAUACAAAGAAGAAACAACAACUAACCAUUUUGGAGAGCUUAUUGUGCAAAAGAAAAUUCCUAAAAAUAGAGAGUUAAUAGAUUUUGGAUGAAACUUUAGCGAGCAGAAGAGGG
This 496-nucleotide long non-coding RNA is filed under the name Gossypium barbadense (sea-island cotton). Its description in RNAcentral is "long non-coding RNA (GBAR_LNC016591)". The record is from RNAcentral. Lineage: Eukaryota; Viridiplantae; Streptophyta; Magnoliopsida; Malvales; Malvaceae.